ACGGCAGGAGCUCGAAGAGACAGUGACCAGGAUGCGAUGGAUCUUUUACUAUGUCCAGUGCCUUCCUAUGGCACCUUGUGGCAUAAAGUAACAGAACAAUAACGCCCUGCACCCCAAAAGCACAUUGAAAAGAGCAGAGGAUGUUUUCCUGGUGACAGACCACAAUCCUGGGCCCGCCCAAAACAUUUUGGUGCCUCAGAACAACAAAAUGGCACCACAACCCCACCUGCCAGGGAAGAAAAGGGGAGUGAAGAUCUGCCAGGUGAAGGAGGGCACCUCCUUGUCACCAAGAGGCAGAAUUUACGGGGAAUGCCAAGGGGGCAGCAGAUCCAGUCUGCAAGUCGUGGGUGGCGCUGCCCUGCCACAAUCCCAAGGCUGCUUUUCAAGCAUGACAUUUUCCUGGUGGUUGGGGGACAUGCAAACCACUGUGUACCUUGGGAUGUGAAGAUGAGACAAGGCAAAGACUUCCCAAUAGCUACAACAUCCAGCAAAACAGCCCUGCAUGGUCUUCAAAGAAAACUGAACAGCCUGAUUAAUUAACAUGGUUUGAUUUUCCUACACCAGUGUGGACAACAGCCUAAGGAAAUCAUCUUUGGCAACAGCCAAAUGUACUAGCUUCUUUCUAAAUCCUAUUGCAAAUCACUUUCCAUGGAGAUUUAUUUUGUGUAGGAAAAACUUGGUUCAUGACACAACCCCUCUGCCUUUCAGCAAAUGCAAUGCUCUCACUAAACAUUUCCUAAUAAACUAUAGCCUAUUUCACACAUAUAUAUUUAACAAUAAUUAUAUCCAGCCAUAUACAGCACUCAAGGCAGAUUGUUAAAACAAUCAUAUUAAUAUUUAACAACAAAAAAGCAAACAAUAAGCAACAAAGAUAGCACAUAACUUGCCUGGUGAAGCAUUCCUGCCAGUAGGACCUUCUGCUGGCAUUCCAGGGGGCUUCUGCUGGUGUAGAAGCACCCAGCCCCCUUAGCAGGGUUACGCUUCCUCUAUGCAAAUGCUGCUCAGCCAGCAAAUCUUUCGAGUUUAGGAUUUCUCUCUCUCCUGGUAUGCUUGUAAAUACUUCCCUUGUUUGGCUGCAUUUAUUCUCAGAACUGUGAGUAUAAUCUGACAUGACAGUAAUUUGGUUUCUUUUGCUGUGUUAUGGCAAAUCAAUAAAAAAAAUGAAUUGGUAGUCAUAAGCUAUGAAUUAUUGGAACAGAAAUAGGGGUUUAGGAUUUUUUCCACUAAAUAGAAUAAAUUAAAUGUUAUUUUUUUUACUUAAGCUCCAGUCUCCACUACACCGGAUUCAAAAUAUUAGCGUAAGAAAUUACAAUUCAAUUAUAUCAUUUGUAAUUAUUACAUAUACAUCUUUUAAUUGUAUAGCAAUUAUGGAUUAACAUUACUUUUCACCACACAGUGCCCAGUACCACUUUACUGGUGCCCUUUAAAAGACCCACCAGUCAUUCCUUAGACUGGCAGUUGGAGAUGCCACAACUUUUUUGUAAAAUGUUUAAAUAGCCAAGACCUCAGUUCCUCAAGAAGCAAAUAUAUUGGGAUGGGCUCUUUGACUAUAAAACAUUGAUUCUGUAAAAGCUGCCUCUUAAAUUACAUGAAAAUUCUGUGAAUUUAAGCAGGUUCUUAACAGACUGACAACCUUCAUCACAAUCUCUGACCCAAAGAGACCAAUAUUUUAAGCACAUGGGGAUGGGGGGAAAUAGUUUGUCUCACUACUCACUGCUCAUUUUAAACAGGUUUUUCUUAUAUUGCUUCAUCCAGAUUAAACAGAAUUUGUUCCUGUAAAACAAGCUGUUGAGAGGACAUGGUUUCUUUCUACUCCCACCAUGCAGCUUAAGACAACAGGAUGCCAUCGCCCAAAUCAGAAUCACUUAUGAGUGACAGGCAAUCUCAGAAACUGCUAUUUAUCAGAAGGAAAGAAUAGAAUCACAGAAUGGCAGAGUUGGAAGGGAUCAUCUAGUUCAACCCCCUGCAAUGCAAUAAUUUCAACAAGAUCAUACACGACACCUAUGCUUGAAAACUUGCCAGGAAGGAGAGUCCACCACCUCUCGUUGGAGCCUGUUCCACUGUCAAACUAAAAUUUUACUAUUUGCAUAUCCAGGAUGUGUUCUGGGUCUGGGUGUGUGGACUUCCUUAAUUCCGAAUAGAGGCCAUUGACUCACCUAUGGCCAUGACUCACCAUUGACUCACCUACGACUACAGGACAUAUUGUGCAGAGGCUGGGAAGCCAUCUUUCAGACAGAAGAAAUGCAUGGAUCCUUGCGCCAUGGUUCUAGACUGGGGAUGCUAGGAGCCAUGGGAUCUGAAAUAAAGAGCAGUUGCUUUAUCCUUUUGGCUAUGCCUGGUAUAGAGCGACACAUGGGCUAGCUGGCCAUGUUCAUCCUAGUUAUUAAAGUGCUACAAGACUCUUUGUUGUUCAUGAUAGUAAGUUCAGUAUGGCUCUGCACCUGAAUCAGCACAUGUAAUCAAUCUUUGCCACGGGAGCCAUGAGCCUUUUCCUACAGCAACUACUGUACUGUUAUUUUUAAGCUGCCUUUCUACUGGAUCCUGCACUCGGGGUGACUUACCAGCAGU
Non-coding RNA from Podarcis muralis (Common wall lizard), 2568 nucleotides. Lineage: Eukaryota; Metazoa; Chordata; Lepidosauria; Squamata; Lacertidae. The record is from RefSeq and is a predicted model, not a curated record.